RNAcentral lists this ribosomal RNA (698 nucleotides) under Euryhaliotrema tubocirrus. RNAcentral describes it as "partial 28S ribosomal RNA". It matches the Rfam family "Eukaryotic large subunit ribosomal RNA", at positions 65 to 639 of the family's 3401-position model. The record is from RNAcentral. Lineage: Eukaryota; Metazoa; Platyhelminthes; Monogenea; Dactylogyridea; Ancyrocephalidae.
CUAACCAGGAUUCUCCUAGUAACGGCGAGUGAACGGAGAUUAGCCCAUCACCGAAGUCCGGUGCUAUUGCAUACAGGACAAUGUGGUGUUAAGGCAUGUACCUGGGACUGCGAAUCUACCCGAAGUCCAACUCCGAUUGUGGCUUUGGAUAUUGCCCAAAGCGGGUGAGAGGCCCGUACGGGUAGAUUCUUGUUGUUAUGCAGUCCUCAGAUGUGCGUGCUUUCGAGUCGGAUUGCUUGAGAAUGCAGUCCAAAGUGGGUGGUAAACUCCAUCCAAGGCUAAAUACUGGCACGAGUCCGAUAGUAGACAAGUACCGUGAGGGAAAGUUGAAAAGUACUCUGAAGAGAGAGUAAAUAGCACGUGAAGCCGGUUGCAGGGAAGCUGGUGGAGUCAAGCUUCAUGCUUGAGAAAUUUGUGCAAGUAGUAUUUUGUUGAUUGUAUUCAUGGCCGAUCAACUUGGAAUAAGUUGGGCGCAUUCGUGUGCUUCAAGUCAUUCUGGGUAGUGUGUUUGUGCUGGUCAUGAUAAACUGCUGCUUGUACUCUAUUUCUUGUUGCAUAAAUCACGGUCUAUAGCCUUGUGUUGACGUGCUGUAUGAUUGUCUAACUGUGCUACGGCAAGCUUUCAGUUUGUCGGGUACAGGAUGGCAGGUUGAGGCUUCGGUCCUUGUGUCUGUUAGUCUCUUAUAGUGGUUUUGACC